AGCCCUUUGUAGACAUAAAGGUCUUGCCUGCCCAGUGGCUAAAGCUAAACGGCCGCGGUAUCUUGACCGUGCAAAGGUAGCAUAAUCAUUUGUCUUUUAAAUGGAGACUUGUAUGAAUGGCGGAACCUUCUUCAACUGUCUCCCUUUCCACUCCCCCAAAUUUCUAUUUCCGUGAAGAAGCAGAAAUAAAAGAGAAAGACGAGAAGACCCUGUCGAGCUUCAGCUUAAAGGUGAAAAACUAAACAUCAUCCAAAAGCUUUGGUUGGGGCAACCAUGGAGAAAACACAUCCUCCAGAAAAAAUAGAAGAAAACCCUUCACUAUUUUCAACCUCAAAGAACCAGAAACUGGUAAUCGGAAAAAGUUACCGCAGGGAUAACAGCGUAAUCUUCUCUAAGAGUCCUUAUUGACGAGAAGGUUUGCGACCUCGAUGUUGGAUUGGGGCCUCCUUUGGGUGCAGAAGCUCUAAAAGGUUAGACUGUUCGUCUAUUAAAGCCCUACG
Molecule: ribosomal RNA, 500 nt
Filed under: Holothuria scabra
Lineage: Eukaryota; Metazoa; Echinodermata; Holothuroidea; Aspidochirotida; Holothuriidae
Description: partial large subunit ribosomal RNA
Rfam family: Bacterial large subunit ribosomal RNA
Source: RNAcentral